CCCUUAGAUGUUCUGGGCGGCCCGCGCACUACAUUGGCACUCUCAAUAAGUUCCUAGAUCUAAAACUUUGGGGUAUUCUAUUAAGUGGUGUCGUUACUGGGAUUAACCCUUGCAAUUAUUGGUUACGAACGAGGAAUUCCUUGUAAUCGCGGUUUAUCAGCCCGCGUUGAAUGCGUCCCUGCCCUUUGUACACACCGCCCGUCGCUCCUACCGAUGAAUCGUCCGGUGAAGUUCAUGGAGUGGUGGUUGUUCCAGCUGCUGUCGAAGUGAAAUGGACCUCACGAUUUAGAGGAAGGAGAAGUCGUAACA
RNAcentral lists this ribosomal RNA (309 nucleotides) under uncultured eukaryote. RNAcentral describes it as "partial 18S ribosomal RNA". It matches the Rfam family "Eukaryotic small subunit ribosomal RNA", at positions 1470 to 1796 of the family's 1831-position model. The record is from RNAcentral.